This 485-nucleotide ribosomal RNA is filed under the name uncultured bacterium. Its description in RNAcentral is "bacterial SSU rRNA". It matches the Rfam family "Bacterial small subunit ribosomal RNA", at positions 1 to 507 of the family's 1533-position model. The record is from RNAcentral.
AGAGUUUGAUCGAUGGCUACGAGGACGAACGGCUGGCGGCGCGCUUUAUACAUGCAAGUCGAACGAGAAGCCAGAGCUUGCUCUGGUGGAAAGUGGCGAACGGGUGAGUAACACGUGAGAAACCUGCCCCAAAGACUGGGAUAAGCCGAGGAAACUUGGUCUAAUACCGGAUACCUUCUUUUAUCACAUGUUAAAAAGAGAAAUGCUCCGGCGCUUUGGGAUGGUCUCGCGACCUAUCAGCUUGUUGGUGAGGUAAAAGCUCACCAAGGCAUCGACGGGUAGCUGGUCUGAGAGGAUGUCCAGCCACAUUGGGACUGAGAUACGGCCCAAACUCCUACGGGAGGCAGCAGUAGGGAAUCUUGCACAAUGAGGGAAACCUUGAUGCAGCGACGCCGCGUGCGGGACGAAGGCCCUAGGGUUGUAAACCGCUUUCAGUAGGGACGAAAGUGACGGUACCUACAGAAGAAGCCCCGGCCAACUAUGUG